AUUGAACGCUGGCGGCAUGCCUUACACAUGCAAGUCGAACGGCAGCACGGGUGCUUGCACCUGGUGGCGAGUGGCGAACGGGUGAGUAAUACAUCGGAACAUGUCCUGUAGUGGGGGAUAGCCCGGCGAAAGCCGGAUUAAUACCGCAUACGAUCUACGGAUGAAAGCGGGGGACCUUCGGGCCUCGCGCUAUAGGGUUGGCCGAUGGCUGAUUAGCUAGUUGGUGGGGUAAAGGCCUACCAAGGCGACGAUCAGUAGCUGGUCUGAGAGGACGACCAGCCACACUGGGACUGAGACACGGCCCAGACUCCUACGGGAGGCAGCAGUGGGGAAUUUUGGACAAUUGGCGAAAGCCUGAUCCAGCAAUGCCGCGUGUGUGAAGAAGGCCUUCGGGUUGUAAAGCACUUUUGUCCGGAAAGAAAUCCUUGGCCCUAAUACGGUCGGGGGAUGACGGUACCGGAAGAAUAAGCACCGGCUAACUACGUG
Molecule: ribosomal RNA, 486 nt
Filed under: uncultured bacterium
Lineage: Bacteria
Description: partial 16S ribosomal RNA
Rfam family: Bacterial small subunit ribosomal RNA
Source: RNAcentral